GAACUACCCAUAAGCUCUAAAUGGUAAGAGCGCUCACUAAAUGAGAGGUUGAUGGUUCGAAUCCAUCUGGAUCCA
RNAcentral lists this transfer RNA (75 nucleotides) under Thalictrum thalictroides. RNAcentral's name for it is "tRNA-Leu". Lineage: Eukaryota; Viridiplantae; Streptophyta; Magnoliopsida; Ranunculales; Ranunculaceae. The record is from RNAcentral.